RNAcentral lists this ribosomal RNA (468 nucleotides) under uncultured bacterium. RNAcentral's name for it is "partial 16S ribosomal RNA". It matches the Rfam family "Bacterial small subunit ribosomal RNA", at positions 28 to 507 of the family's 1533-position model. The record is from RNAcentral.
GACGAACGCUGGCGGCGUGCUUAACACAUGCAAGUCGAACGGAAAGGCCCUGCUUUUGUGGGGUGCUCGAGUGGCGAACGGGUGAGUAACACGUGAGUAACCUGCCCUUGACUUUGGGAUAACUUCAGGAAACUGGGGCUAAUACCGGAUAGGAGCUCCUGCUGCAUGGCGGGGGUUGGAAAGUUUCGGCGGUUGGGGAUGGACUCGCGGCUUAUCAGCUUGUUGGUGGGGUAGUGGCUUACCAAGGCUUUGACGGGUAGCCGGCCUGAGAGGGUGACCGGCCACAUUGGGACUGAGAUACGGCCCAGACGCCUACGGGAGGCAGCAGUGGGGAAUAUUGCACAAUGGGCGGAAGCCUGAUGCAGCAACGCCGCGUGCGGGAUGACGGCCUUCGGGUUGUAAACCGCUUUCGCCGGUGACGAAGCGUGAGUGACGGUAAUGGGUAAAGAAGCACCGGCUAACUACGUG